UACAGAGGUCUCAAGCGUUGUUCGGAUUCAUUGGGCGUAAAAGGUGCGUAGGCGGCGCGGUAAGUCGGGUGUGAAAUCUCGGAGCUUAACUCCGAAACUGCAUUCGAUACUGCCGUGCUUGAGGACUGGAGAGGAGACUGGAAUUUACGGUGUAGCGGUGAAAUGCGUAGAUAUCGGGAGGAACACCUGUGGCGAAAGCGGCGCACUGGACCAUAACUGACGCUGAGGCGCGAAAGCUAGGGGAGCAAACAGG
This 253-nucleotide ribosomal RNA is filed under the name uncultured bacterium. Its description in RNAcentral is "partial 16S ribosomal RNA". It matches the Rfam family "Bacterial small subunit ribosomal RNA", at positions 524 to 776 of the family's 1533-position model. The record is from RNAcentral.